Molecule: ribosomal RNA, 436 nt
Filed under: Loxosceles mrazig
Lineage: Eukaryota; Metazoa; Arthropoda; Arachnida; Araneae; Sicariidae
Description: partial 16S large subunit ribosomal RNA
Rfam family: Bacterial large subunit ribosomal RNA
Source: RNAcentral
CACGCUCUGCGAUUACAGAAAGCAACUCCUGCUCCAUGUCCAUAAAUAGCCGCAGAUAUUCUGUGCUAAGGUAGCAUAAUCACUUGCCUUUUAAUUGAAGGAUCGUAUGAAAGGAUCAAUGACUUUUUCCAUUUAUUCUAUGCUUCUAAUGAAAUUCACUUAUAAGUAAAAAGGCUUAUAAGCCAAGGAAGGACGACAAGACCCUAUAGAACUUUACAAGCUGUUAAACUGGGGCGGUUCAUAACAAAAGCUUAAUUACAAUUCACUAACCAAGACCUAAUACCAUUAACCACAGGAACAAGUUACCUUAGGGAUAACAGAGGAAUUUCCUUUCAGAUGAUCUUUAAAAGAAAGAUUCCGACCUCGAUGUUGAAUUAAUAUAACUUCAUAAUAAAACGUUAUCUAAGUUGGUCUGUUCGACCAUUUAAAUAUUACA